GAUGAACGCUGGCGGCGUGCCUAAUACAUGCAAGUAGAACGCUGAAGGAGGAGCUUGCUCUUCUGGAUGAGUUGCGAACGGGUGAGUAACGCGUAGGUAACCUGCCUGGUAGCGGGGGAUAACUAUUGGAAACGAUAGCUAAUACCGCAUGACAACAGUUAUUGCAUGAUAACUGUUUAAAAGGGGCAACUGCUCCACUACCAGAUGGACCUGCGUUGUAUUAGCUAGUUGGUGAGGUAACGGCUCACCAAGGCGACGAUACAUAGCCGACCUGAGAGGGGGGUCGGCCCCCCUGGGACUGGGACACGGCCCAGACUCCUACGGGGGGCAGCCGUAGGGGAUCUUCGGCCAUGGACGGAAGUCUGACCGGGCAACGCCGGGGGAGUGAAGAAGGUUUUCGGGUCGUAAAGCUCUGUUGUAAGGGAAGAACGAAUGUGAGAGUGGAAAGUUCACACUGUGACGGUAUCUUACCAGAAAGCGACGGCUAACUACGUG
This 495-nucleotide ribosomal RNA is filed under the name uncultured bacterium. Its description in RNAcentral is "partial 16S ribosomal RNA". It matches the Rfam family "Bacterial small subunit ribosomal RNA", at positions 28 to 507 of the family's 1533-position model. The record is from RNAcentral.